GUCUAUGGCCAUGCCACCCUGAACGUGACCAAUCUCAUCUGAUCUCAGAAGCUAAGCAGGGUCGGGCCGGGUUAGUACUUGGAUGGGAGACCACCUAGAAAGACCAGGUGCUGUAGGCA
Molecule: ribosomal RNA, 119 nt
Filed under: Pteropus alecto (black flying fox)
Lineage: Eukaryota; Metazoa; Chordata; Mammalia; Chiroptera; Pteropodidae
Source: RNAcentral